AAGUCGUAACAAGGUUUCCGUAGGUGAACCUGCGGAAGGAUCAUUACAGAGAACCUGCCCUUCGGGGUAGAUCUCCCACCCUUUGUUUAUUUACCUUUGUUGCUUUGGCAGGCCCGUCCUUGGACGCUGGCUUCGGCCGGCCUGCGCCUGCCAGAGGACCCUAAACUCUUGUUUAAUUGUCGUCUGAGUAUCAAAAUAAUCAUUAAAA
Molecule: unclassified non-coding RNA, 208 nt
Filed under: plant metagenome
Description: partial contains small subunit ribosomal RNA and internal transcribed spacer 1
Rfam family: Eukaryotic small subunit ribosomal RNA (bases 1-46)
Source: RNAcentral